CAUUAAAUGGCUGAGACCCAAGCAUCAAGCUUUUAACUUGUUAAACAGUAAAUUUACUUUUAAUGA
RNAcentral lists this transfer RNA (66 nucleotides) under Asiopsocus sonorensis. Its description in RNAcentral is "tRNA-Lys". Lineage: Eukaryota; Metazoa; Arthropoda; Insecta; Psocodea; Asiopsocidae. The record is from RNAcentral.